RNAcentral lists this ribosomal RNA (1623 nucleotides) under Sus scrofa cristatus. Its description in RNAcentral is "16S ribosomal RNA". The record is from RNAcentral. Lineage: Eukaryota; Metazoa; Chordata; Mammalia; Artiodactyla; Suidae.
ACCAAAGCUAGCUCAACAUACUAAACAAACACAAAAAUACACCAAAAUAAAAUAAAACAUUCACCUAACAUUAAAGUAUAGGAGAUAGAAAUUUUUAUCCUGACGCUAUAGAGACAAUAUUUUAAGGGGAUGGUGGAUGGGUUGAUUGUAAGUGGUGGAGAUUGAAUUUUGGUGGGUCUUUUUUUAGUUUAAUGGUUUAUUUGGGGGGUAUUUGGUUAUAACUGCCAUGGCUAUGUACCCUGAAACCAGACGAGUUUCCAAUAAGUGUUUUUGGAGCACUGGUUUGUUUGUAUGGUUUAUUAGUUGAAAGAAGAGGAAGUAGAAAUUAUAAGUUUAAUGGGCUUGGGGAUAAUUUAUGACACGGGAGGGUUUUUUAGUGAAGCUAUGGGGAUGCUUUAAUAGUUAUGGUACUUGAUUUAUUGUUACUGGCUGGUCUGGAGAGAGAUUACUCGUGGUAAUUAACCAUAUUGUUGUGCACCAAGGAAAGAUUAGGGAAUAUUUAGCCAUGUUUAUAAGCAUUCUCACGUUGUAGAAUAGGCUGAGCUGAGUACCAACAUAAUACUAUUGACCUGUUUUACAGCACCCUCUGAACAUACCAGAGCCUGAUUCGACUAAAAAAGAUAGUUGGUUUCAGUAACUUUAAUACCAGGAAAAUAGUAUACUUUCUCUAUUCCUAAGGAUCUUUGAGUAUCUUACCCAGAGGUCCUCCACUGAGAUAAUGAUCUUAAUGAUCACCAUGGCAGAGGUGAAAAGGCCCGCUGAAUUCAUUCCAGUUGUCCACAUGACAGAAAAUCCUGAUACUUGAUAGGUUUCCAGAUUGAGAAGACCAGAGAUAAGAGGGAAAUAGUACCCUGUAUGGAACAACAAGGGAUUUGGAGUCAGGGAUCCCAUUUCUGAAAAAUCCUCUGUGACUCAUAUCAUCUGAGUCCCUUUCUAAGUCUGAAAAUGUGCCUAAAAAUAUCUACACCCUAGUUGAGUUUAAGAGGCAAUGCUACAGAGAGCCAGUAUGAUGUCUCUCAAGAACAGGUGCUCAGCAUAAUUGGUCUAUUUCUUAGAACACAUGUUGAAUCCAUAUUCCUAUCACCAAUUUCAAACCUGAAGGAAGGCCAAGAAGUCGCUCUUGUGUCAUAUUUCACUAAGAAAUCAUGUUGUUGGACUGGUGAGCGAUAGCUCAUCACUAAGAGUGAGCUUCUAAUUACGGCCAUGUUGAGCUCAGACCAGAAAGGGCAGCUGGGCUGUCAUCACUAUGAGUGGCCCGUUCCAUAUGGCCAGAGCGCCAUAGCUCCACCAGAAAGGACAGCUGAGGGCACAGGCCCUGCCAGGUGUGGAGGCAGAACUCUGACUUACAACUCCUGUUUAUAAUGCUCUUCACACCUAUUGUGGUGAGCCCUCAUGUAGAAAAGGACUAAUUUCCAUUUGAGAUUCCCUCUUCGACCUUUAGGAUGUAGCAAAGUUUCCAUUUAAUUUUUAAACAUUGAAGUGGUUUUCUUUUCGCUAUGACUGUGGCUCAAUCCUGUGGUCUAAGAAGAAUCUAGUUAAUUUCAGGGUUACAUUUUAGACUUGAUUCAUGGCCCCACCUUCAUCUAUUGGGUAAAGAGUCUAUGACCACUUGAAAUAAUGUAU